RNAcentral lists this ribosomal RNA (497 nucleotides) under uncultured bacterium. RNAcentral's name for it is "partial 16S ribosomal RNA". It matches the Rfam family "Bacterial small subunit ribosomal RNA", at positions 28 to 507 of the family's 1533-position model. The record is from RNAcentral.
GAUGAACGCUGGCGGCGUGCCUAAUACAUGCAAGUCGAGCGAACAGACGAGGAGCUUGCUCCUCUGACGUUAGCGGCGGACGGGUGAGUAACACGUGGAUAACCUACCUAUAAGACUGGGAUAACUUCGGGAAACCGGAGCUAAUACCGGAUAACAUGUUGAACCGCAUGGUUCAACAGUGAAAGACGGUCUUGCUGUCACUUAUAGAUGGAUCCGCGCCGCAUUAGCUAGUUGGUAAGGUAACGGCUUACCAAGGCAACGAUGCGUAGCCGACCUGAGAGGGUGAUCGGCCACACUGGAACUGAGACACGGUCCAGACUCCUACGGGAGGCAGCAGUAGGGAAUCUUCCGCCAUGGGCGAAAGCCUGACGGAGCAACGCCGCGUGAGUGAAGAAGGUCUUCGGAUCGUAAAACUCUGUUAUUAGGGAAGAACAAAUGUGUAAGUAACUAUGCACGUCUUGACGGUACCUAAUCAGAAAGCCACGGCUAACUACGUG